ACGACGCUGGCGGCGUGCUUAACACAUGCAAGUCGAACGGUAAGGCCCUUCGGGGUACACGAGUGGCGAACGGGUGAGUAACACGUGGGUGAUCUGCCCUGCACUUCGGGAUAAGCCUGGGAAACUGGGUCUAAUACCGGAUAGGACCAUGGACUUCACGGUUUGUGGUGGAAAGCUUUUGCGGUGUGGGAUGGGCCCGCGGCCUAUCAGCUUGUUGGUGGGGUAAUGGCCUACCAAGGCGACGACGGGUAGCCGGCCUGAGAGGGUGUCCGGCCACACUGGGACUGAGAUACGGCCCAGACUCCUACGGGAGGCAGCAGUGGGGAAUAUUGCACAAUGGGCGCAAGCCUGAUGCAGCGACGCCGCGUGAGGGAUGACGGCCUUCGGGUUGUAAACCUCUUUCAAUAGGGACGAAGCGCAAGUGACGGUACCUAUAGAAGAAGCACCGGCCAACUACGUG
This 460-nucleotide ribosomal RNA is filed under the name uncultured bacterium. RNAcentral's name for it is "bacterial SSU rRNA". It matches the Rfam family "Bacterial small subunit ribosomal RNA", at positions 33 to 507 of the family's 1533-position model. The record is from RNAcentral.